AGAGUUUGAUCCUGGCUCAGCGGAUUGAACGCUGGCGGAAUGCUCUACACAUGCAAGUCGAGCGGCUACACCGGGAAUUCCAGUCUCGAGCGGCGCACUGGUAAGUAUUGCAGUCCCAACAUGUCCAUGUCCUGGGGUAUAGCCCGGCGAAAGCCGGAUUAAUAUCGCAUACGGCCGACAGGGGAAAGUGGGGGACCGCAAGGCCGCACGCUAUUGGGUUGGCCGAUGUCCGAUUAACUAGCUCGCGGGGUAAGACCCUACCAAGGUGAUUACCGGUAGCUGGUCUGAGACGAUGAUUAGCCACACUGGGACUGAGACACGGCCCAGAUUCUUCCGGUACCGUCAGCAGUGGGCGAUUUUCGACAAUGGGGGAAACGCUCAUCCAGCCAUUCCGCGUGAGUGAAGAAGGCCUUCGGGUUGUAGAGCUUUUUUGUCCGAAGCGAAACGGCGAGCCUGAACAUCGCUCGCUACUCACGGUACCGGAAGAAUAAGCACUGGCUAGCUACGUGCCAGCAGCCGCGGUAAUACGUAGGGUGCGAGCGUUAAUCAGAAUUUCCGGGCGUAAAGCGUGCGCAGGCGGUUUUGUAAGCCAGAUGUGAAAUUCCCGGGC
This 610-nucleotide ribosomal RNA is filed under the name uncultured Burkholderia sp. RNAcentral's name for it is "bacterial SSU rRNA". It matches the Rfam family "Bacterial small subunit ribosomal RNA", at positions 8 to 608 of the family's 1533-position model. The record is from RNAcentral. Lineage: Bacteria; Pseudomonadati; Pseudomonadota; Betaproteobacteria; Burkholderiales; Burkholderiaceae.